This 494-nucleotide ribosomal RNA is filed under the name uncultured bacterium. Its description in RNAcentral is "partial 16S ribosomal RNA". It matches the Rfam family "Bacterial small subunit ribosomal RNA", at positions 28 to 507 of the family's 1533-position model. The record is from RNAcentral.
GACGAACGCUGGCGGCGCGCUUAACACAUGCAAGUCGAACGGAAAGGCCUGCUUUCCCUUGUGGAUUGCGGGUACUCGAGUGGCGAACGGGUGAGUAACACGUGAGUGAUCUGCCCCCAACUUGGGUAUAAGCCUGGGAAACUGGGUCUAAUUCCCGUUAGGACUGCAAGGUGGUGCCUGUGUUGGAAAACGAUUUUUUAGUGGUUGGGGAUAAGCUCGCGGCCUAUCUGCUUUUUGGUGGGGGAAUGGCCUACCAAGGCGGCGACGGGUAGCCGGCGUGAGAGGGUGGACGGCGACAUUGGGACUGAGCUACGGCCCCGACUCCUGCGGGAGGCAGCGGUGGGGAGUAUUAGACAGUGAGCGGAAGCCUGAUGCAGCGACGCCGCGUGGGGGAUGACGGCCUUCGGGUUGUAAACUCCUUUCGAACGCGAGGAAGCCACCUGGUUGGAAGGGUGGUGACGGUAGUGGUAGAAGAAGCACCGGCUAACUACGUG